UGCAGAGUGUUGACUGUUUAUGCUCAUAACUGGAGGCUGAUGAGGGUUCGUGGCUCUGCCGCAGCCAGCCUUGACAGUGGACAACCCUGGAUCAAUGCCCUUGGGCUUUUGAGCAAAGUUCCAACAAGUAUAGCAUAGCACAGUGAAGAAACGCUCUGCCAAGAAGGGAGAGUUAGGCUUGAGACUUCAAAUUCCAGAUCCAAGAACUUGCUGGUUUUAAAAAUUCAGAACUUACUGAAGCGUGAAGCAGUGUUUCUUGCCUGCAUUUAUUCUUGAAACGACAGUGCUCUUCAAAGUCAUUUCUACCUGUAAUCCAACCAGUCUUAGGUACUUGAAUUUGCUACUAAUAAAAUUUAUAUUCACAUGAAAGAAACAAAGUUUCCAAUCUCAUAUGACACCAAAUCCUCAACUGAACCCACAGAUACUGUGAGUUUUCAAAUUUUUAAAUGAUACAGAUAUUUUUAAAAUAUAUCUGUUUUUUUUCCUCAUAAGAAUAUUGUUGCCUCCUCCUGUUUUUCCUUUACUUCUUACCACCCAGGUGUCUACAUAAGCACAGAAAACAGCCUCCUCCAGU
Long non-coding RNA from Myodes glareolus (Bank vole), 574 nucleotides. RefSeq lists it as uncharacterized. The record is from RefSeq and is a predicted model, not a curated record. NCBI's taxonomy places the organism in Eukaryota, Metazoa, Chordata, Mammalia, Rodentia, Cricetidae.